RNAcentral lists this transfer-messenger RNA (359 nucleotides) under Enterococcus sp. It matches the Rfam family "transfer-messenger RNA". From Rfam's summary of the family: Bacterial tmRNA, also known as 10Sa RNA or SsrA, is named for its dual tRNA and mRNA-like properties. Its role is to liberate the mRNA from a stalled ribosome. Lineage: Bacteria; Bacillati; Bacillota; Bacilli; Lactobacillales; Enterococcaceae. The record is from RNAcentral.
GGGGCCGACUGGUUUCGAUUGGUUGGUAUCUGAUGAGGGAAGCACGUCGAGGAAUCAUCGUUACCUCGUAAAUCAUAAAGAUGACAAAAUAAAUGCAGACAAGAACGCAUUUGCUCUCGCAGCCUAAAGUGCUGUGAGCGGUAGGGGAAUUUAGGGUUCCAGUAUCUCCCCUAUUGUCGUUUCUAGGAACUUGUUGUAUGGUAGUGGGUCUCUAACCGCCAUACAAGACCUUAUGAGAGACUAAGCCACCGGACUGAGGCAAGCAAUGUUCGGGGAUGAAAAUAUACACUUUGCCUAAACGUGUAGAAGACUUAUCAUAACCAAGCAAGACGGGAGUUCGAUUCUCCCCGGCUCCACGA